UAGAGAGUUUCGAGUCCUGGCGUCAGGAUGAACGACUGGCGGCGUGCUUAACACAUGCAAGUCGAGCGAAGUCGGAAAGUGGAUUCUUCGGAAAGAAGCUUUGCUGACUUAGCGGCGGACGGGUGAGUAACGCGUGGGUAACUGCUCAUACAGGGGGAUAACAGUUAGAAAUGACUGCUAAUACCGCAUAAGCGCACGGGACUGCAUGGUCCAGUGUGAAAAACCGAGGUGGUAUGAGAUGGACCCGCGUCUGAUUAGCUGGUUGGCGGGGUAACGGCCCACCAAGGCGACGAUCAGUAGCCGACCUGAGAGGGUGGCCGGCCACAUUGGGGACUGAGACACGGCCCAAACUCCUACGGGAGGCAGCAGUGGGGAAUAUUGCACAAUGGGGGAAACCCUGAUGCAGCAACGCCGCGUGAGUGAAGAAGUAUUUCGGUAUGUAAAGCUCUAUCAGCAGGGAAGAGAAUGACGGUACCUGACUAAGAAGCCCCGGCUAACUACGUG
Molecule: ribosomal RNA, 504 nt
Filed under: uncultured Lachnospiraceae bacterium
Lineage: Bacteria; Bacillati; Bacillota; Clostridia; Lachnospirales; Lachnospiraceae
Description: bacterial SSU rRNA
Rfam family: Bacterial small subunit ribosomal RNA
Source: RNAcentral